Molecule: long non-coding RNA, 434 nt
Filed under: Homo sapiens (human)
Lineage: Eukaryota; Metazoa; Chordata; Mammalia; Primates; Hominidae
Description: HSALNT0327089
Source: RNAcentral
CAGGGAGUGCCCUGCAAAAUGUGCCUGCUAAGAGGACAACUGGGGAGAGAAAUACAGUAACCUCCAUUAGAAUAUGAGUUCCAUGUAAGUUGUAGAAGAUCCAGGAGAGGAAGAUUUAGGACUCUGAAGCUGUUGCUGCCUCCCUGAAACAUGGCGUGAACAUUUGUCUUCCAAUCAUCAGAUUUACUGUGAUUGAAAAGUCUGAACACCUUGGAGAAUACCACUUGUGGAGGAGAGAAGCUGGCCCUUUACCUUGGCUAUUAGCACUUAUUCCUAUACCAUCAUCGAGAGAAAGAUAAGUCAGUUACUAAUUCUGUCUACUCCCUUCACCCCCAAUAAUUGACAAGAGAUCUCUUUGGAAACUCAACAUGAUACAGCUAGAUUCAGGUGAAAGACAGAGAAUCUAUGACAAAUAACAAAGGAUGCCAUAGAUG